CCUACGGGAGGCUGCAGUGGGGAAUUUUGGACAAUGGGCGCAAGCCUGAUCCAGCCAUGCCGCGUGCGGGACGAAGGCCUUCGGGUUGUAAACCGCUUUCAGCCGGAAAGAAAUCGCCGUUUUUAAUACAGACGGUGGAUGACGGUACCGGAAGAAGAAGCACCGGCUAACUACGUGCCAGCAGCCGCGGUAAUACGUAGGGUGCGAGCGUUAAUCGGAAUUACGCGGCGUAAAGCGUGCGCAAGACGUGAAAUCCCCGGGCUUAACCUGGGAACUGCGUUUGGAACUGCAAGACUAGAGUGUGUCAGAGGGAGGUGGAAUUCCACGUGUAGCAGUGAAAUGCGUAGAUAUGUGGAGGAACACCGAUGGCGAAGGCAGCCUCCUGGGAUAACACUGACGCUCAUGCACGAAAGCGUGGGGAGCAAACAGGAUUAGAUACCCCUGUAGUC
RNAcentral lists this ribosomal RNA (449 nucleotides) under uncultured bacterium. Its description in RNAcentral is "partial 16S ribosomal RNA". It matches the Rfam family "Bacterial small subunit ribosomal RNA", at positions 338 to 795 of the family's 1533-position model. The record is from RNAcentral.